GACGUAGGGCGCGAGCGUUGUCCGGAUUUAUUGGGCGUAAAGAGCUCGUAGGCGGCUUGUCGCGUCGUUCGUGAAAACCCGGGGCUCAACUCCGGGCUUGCGGGCGAUACGGGCAGGCUAGAGUUCGGUAGGGGAGACUGGAAUUCCUGGUGUAGCGGUGAGAUGCGCAGAUAUCAGGAGGAACACCGGUGGCGAAGGCGGGUCUCUGGGCCGAUACUGACGCUGAGGAGCGAAAGCGUGGGGAGCGAACAGG
RNAcentral lists this ribosomal RNA (253 nucleotides) under uncultured bacterium. Its description in RNAcentral is "partial 16S ribosomal RNA". It matches the Rfam family "Bacterial small subunit ribosomal RNA", at positions 524 to 776 of the family's 1533-position model. The record is from RNAcentral.